Molecule: ribosomal RNA, 484 nt
Filed under: uncultured bacterium
Lineage: Bacteria
Description: partial 16S ribosomal RNA
Rfam family: Bacterial small subunit ribosomal RNA
Source: RNAcentral
AUUGAACGCUGGCGGCAGGCCUAACACAUGCAAGUCGAGCGGAUGAAGGGAGCUUGCUCCUGGAUUCAGCGGCGGACGGGUGAGUAAUGCCUAGGAAUCUGCCUGGUAGUGGGGGAUAACGUCCGGAAACGGGCGCUAAUACCGCAUACGUCCUGAGGGAGAAAGUGGGGGAUCUUCGGACCUCACGCUAUCAGAUGAGCCUAGGUCGGAUUAGCUAGUUGGUGGGGUAAAGGCCUACCAAGGCGACGAUCCGUAACUGGUCUGAGAGGAUGAUCAGUCACACUGGAACUGAGACACGGUCCAGACUCCUACGGGAGGCAGCAGUGGGGAAUAUUGGACAAUGGGCGAAAGCCUGAUCCAGCCAUACCGCGUGUGUGAAGAAGGUCUUCGGAUUGUAAAGCACUUUAAGUUGGGAGGAAGGGCAGUAAGUUAAUACCCUGCUGUUUUGACGUUACCAACAGAAUAAGCACCGGCUAACUUCGUG